GCCGGCGUAGCUCAGUGGUAGAGCGGCUGUUUUGUAAACAGCGGGUCGCGGGUUCGAGUCCUGUCGCCGGCUCCA
Molecule: transfer RNA, 75 nt
Filed under: Fimbriimonas sp.
Lineage: Bacteria; Bacillati; Armatimonadota; Fimbriimonadia; Fimbriimonadales; Fimbriimonadaceae
Also listed under: 2 other names
Description: tRNA-Thr
Rfam family: tRNA
About the family: Transfer RNA (tRNA) molecules are approximately 80 nucleotides in length.
Source: RNAcentral